GUAGGCUUUGCCUGCUAUCUCUUACCCAUGUCUUUUAAGUACCUUACGUUUCCUCGGCGGGUCCGCCCGCCGAUUGGACAAUUUAAACCAUUUGCAGUUGCAAUCAGCGUCUGAAAAAACUUAAUAGUUACAACUUUCAACAACGGAUCUCUUGGUUCUGGCAUCGAUGAAGAACGCAGCGAAAUGCGAUAAGUAGUGUGAAUUGCAGAAUUCAGUGAAUCAUCGAAUCUUUGAACGCACAUUGCGCCCCUUGGUAUUCCAUGGGGCAUGCCUGUUCGAGCGUCAUUUGUACCUUCAAGCUCUGCUUGGUGUUGGGUGUUUGUCUCGCCUCUGCGUGUAGACUCGCCUCAAAACAAUUGGCAGCCGGCGUAUUGAUUUCGGAGCGCAGUACAUCUCGCGCUUUGCACUCAUAACGACGACGUCCAAAAGUACAUUUUUACACUCUUGACCUCGGAUCAGGUAGGGAUACCCGCUGAACUUAA
RNAcentral lists this ribosomal RNA (482 nucleotides) under Ascomycota sp. SL-6. RNAcentral describes it as "eukaryotic LSU rRNA". The stretch from base 132 to 285 matches the Rfam family "5.8S ribosomal RNA". RNAcentral also lists the same sequence under 1 other name. Lineage: Eukaryota; Fungi; Ascomycota. The record is from RNAcentral.